RNAcentral lists this long non-coding RNA (394 nucleotides) under Ananas comosus (pineapple). Its description in RNAcentral is "long non-coding RNA (ACOM_LNC002930)". Lineage: Eukaryota; Viridiplantae; Streptophyta; Magnoliopsida; Poales; Bromeliaceae. The record is from RNAcentral.
UAUCUACUAUUUUUUUUUUUUUAAGAGAUAGGUAGCACAUUAUCCAUUUCGUUUAUUUCAUUUAGAAAUAAACUUAGCUGGAAAUUUGAAUCAACAAAGAUUCGAACUUGGGUCUUCGGUAUCAACCACCAAGUCUUUUGCCACUUGCUCUAGGGAUGGUCGGUAUAUUUAUUUAUUGGAAAAAUUCUAGAAUGCAACGGGUAUAUUAGUGACGUGGCGUAACAAACCAAUCAAAUUAAUUCUUUUAAAAAUAUAUGUCCCAUCAUGAUUGUAAAAAAGUAUUUUUAUUGUACUUUUAUUUGAAAAGAAGGAAUGUGAUUGGUUUAUUAUUAAUGACGUGGUACAAGUGUGACAGUGUAGAAUUCCUCCUAUUAUUGAUAUUGAUAGAUGGAUG